This 253-nucleotide ribosomal RNA is filed under the name uncultured bacterium. Its description in RNAcentral is "partial 16S ribosomal RNA". It matches the Rfam family "Bacterial small subunit ribosomal RNA", at positions 524 to 776 of the family's 1533-position model. The record is from RNAcentral.
UACGUAGGGGGCAAGCGUUGUCCGGAUUUAUUGGGCGUAAAGAGCGUGUCGGCGGCUAGGUAGGUCCGUUGUGAAAACUCGAGGCUCAACCUCGAGACGCCGAUGGAAACCAUCUAGCUAGAGUCCGGAAGAGGAGAGUGGAAUUCCUGGUGUAGCGGUGAAAUGCGCAGAUAUCAGGAAGAACACCCGUGGCUAAGGCGGCUCUCUAGUACGGUACUGACGCUGAGACGCGAAAGCGUGGGGAGCGAACAGG